AUGAAACCAUCAGAACUGCUCUUCACCUCAACUAUAUUGAAAAACAGAUGAAACACAUAAAUAGAUUAUAUGUUAUUUUGCAUAUACUUCAUAUGUUAAAUCACAGAAAAUUUAAAAACCACCAAAAUUAUAGUAUAUUGCUUGCAACAUCCAGCUGUGAUAUUUUAAGCAAAAUAUUAGCAAACAUAUGAGGAACUUUAACUAUUGUAAAAUGGAAAUGAAACUGACUUCACAAAGAUGAGACAUCUAUUUCGAUGCCAAAAAUUAGUCUGAAAAUUUGUUUCUAUUAACCAAUCUUAUAGUAUUUUAACAACUAGCUUGCAUAAAGAGGAAAUCAAAAGAAUAAAAUUUUCAUGUUUUGUUUCCAGCUUUUUCCCACAAAAGUAAAUCAACAAUAAAUCUAUGCUCUCAAACUGUUGCAAAUAUUUUAAUUAACCUCAUCAUCAUUCGUGCUCUCUGCAAUUCUCUGAACUUACAGGGAGAGAAUGCUUGCACUUCUCCAACAUGCUCAUUAUCAAAUCUUCCUGCAAUUACACAUGAAUUCGUAUUGAUUGCUAUUAUAUUAUUAAUAAGUACUCUUUACUUUCCACAAAGCUAGUAAAACACAAUGUACCAUUCACUGAAGAAUAAUGUAUUAAUAGCAUGCAUUGAUUAAUGGAGGGAAGGAAGGACCACAUCAAGAGUAGAGGAAUGAAGUCUGAAACUUGUCUACCUUUCCUGAAGACCACCAAUUUCUUGUUUAAUUUAAGUGACUAAAUAAUAAAUAUGGUUGGCACACCUUCCUAGAGAACUGCCUGUAUCCAGAAUAGUCAUAUCUGCACAAAAGUACAUGCACGCAUAAAAAAACUGUCAUUCCCCUACUUAACUGCAUACUGCAUAUGUCCUAUGCAAAUAUAAAAAUACUAGUUUGGUGAUGCAAAUUUAAGAAAAGCGUUGAGUAUGUGCAUCAAUAUCAAUGGAUCUUGAUUGACCAAUUGAAAGCUCUACUCCAAUAGUUGUCUAUUAUGUUACAGAAGACAGGACUAGAGAUAAUUCUACUCAAUGGCCUAAUCCAUGACGGAUAUAUCCAUUAGUUUCCUACCACUAAGGUUCAGCCUUCCAACAUUUAAGAGGAGUGGUUGUAUAUUUGAAGCAUAUUCCUAAAACUCUCGUUUGAUAGAGCUUAAAUAUAUUUGCAGACAAGAAGCAAAUAGGGAACUAUAAUAGGAUGAAUUGCAAGGUUUUAUAGUUAAUAUUGAAAUUUGUGUCAGUGUUGUUGCCCAAAUCUAAUAAAGAAAUUAUGAGACUUACACAAUCCUUAUAUAGCACCUCCUCAAGAAAGUUAUCAAUCCCUAGUUAGGGAUUCAGAAUAAGAAUUUGCUGAAGCAUAAGAUCCAAUCUAAAUCAAAAUAUAAUUAUGAUAAUAAACUGAAACUACACAUAAAUAUUUGUGAUGUUUUGAAGGAAGGUUCUCAAAGAAUUCAUGUCAAGCAAGGAAUUUCUUGAAACUAGUGUUGGGAAUAUUGAGAAAAUCAGAGACCCACUAAACAGUGAUAUUAGCAAAUGAAAAUCUUAUUAAAAGUAAAGGAAAUCUAAAACUAAUACCUUCAGGUCAAACUAAAUUAAAAUUAUAUCUUCCUCUUUUGCUCCACUUUUUGCUUCUUUUUUCUAAUUAAUUCAGAAGAAUGGCGUGUAGAAUGUAUUCAUGAUAAUUGAAUUAAAUUAGCUUUAUAUGGAAGAGGGCGCGAAGAUUUUAAGGACUGAGUUCACAGUUGUGCAGAUUAUAUAACAAAUUCUCGAAAUACAGGGAACAAUUAUAUUAUAUGAAAUUCAAACAUAAAUAAAUAUAAAUACUGAAUUGAAGCCCAAAUGUACCCACCAACUUAGCCUGCAAUUGAGAUAAAAACAUAUCCCAUAGGAAGUGCUAACGGACUUGGCAAUUGGGGGAAGGGGAUUCACAAAUUAAGGGCCAUCGACCUGAGAGAUGCGUCAAUAAUUGAAGAGAAGGCAUGAAUUGAUGAAGAAAAGGUCACUAGAGAGCGAAGAUACAUACAUGUGUGAAACAACACAAACCCUAACUUAAGCUAUUCGUGGUAGGAGGUAUCGUGAUGGCGGGCGGGCGGGCGGGCAGGCAAGUGAUAGAUUUUAGGGCUUGGUGAGAUUUAGCAGACUUGAGAGAGAGUUUUUGGGAGCGUGAAAAUAAUGGAGAGAUAUUUUGGCAGAUAAUUUCUAUUUGGCUUGCUCAAACUCUAGCUUUAAUUCGUAGAAUGAAGAUCAAAAAACCAAAACAAUUGACGUAAGAGUGGAGGCGGAGACGCGGAGAGACCGGAGACGGAGACGGAGACGGGAAUUGGGGUGUUGGGUUAGGGAAGGCAGAGAGUGAUGCGAUUUGGUGCUCUGUACUUUUUUAACUUUUAAACAUUUGUACCUGUUAAUUAAAU
This 2420-nucleotide long non-coding RNA is filed under the name Panax ginseng (ginseng). Its description in RNAcentral is "long non-coding RNA (PGIN_LNC009539)". The record is from RNAcentral. Lineage: Eukaryota; Viridiplantae; Streptophyta; Magnoliopsida; Apiales; Araliaceae.